GAUGAACGCUGGCGGCGUGCCUAAUACAUGCAAGUAGAACGCUGAAGGAGGAGCUUGCUCUUCUGGAUGAGUUGCGAACGGGUGAGUAACGCGUAGGUAACCUGCCUGGUAGCGGGGGAUAACUAUUGGAAACGAUAGCUAAUACCGCAUGACAACAGUUAUUGCAUGAUAACUGUUUAAAAGGGGCAACUGCUCCACUACCAGAUGGACCUGCGUUGUAUUAGCUAGUUGGUGAGGUAACGGCUCACUAAGGCGACGAUACAUAGCCGACCGGGGAAGGGGAUCGGCCACACUGGGACUGGGACACGGCCCAGGCUCCUACGGGAGGCAGCAGUAGGGAAUCUUCGGCAAUAGACGGAAGUCUGACCGAGCAACGCCGGGGGAGUGAAGAAGGUUUUCGGAUCGUAAAGCUCUGUUGUAAGAGAAGAACGAGUGUGAGAGUGGAAAGUUCACACUGUGACGGUAUCUAACCAGAAAGGGACGGCUAACUACGUG
RNAcentral lists this ribosomal RNA (495 nucleotides) under uncultured bacterium. RNAcentral's name for it is "partial 16S ribosomal RNA". It matches the Rfam family "Bacterial small subunit ribosomal RNA", at positions 28 to 507 of the family's 1533-position model. The record is from RNAcentral.